UGCAUAAGGUGAGUGCAUGACUUAUGCACAACUGCAUGACUUCAAAUCCUGCAUUUUCUCUCUCUGCCGAAGUCUGCAUAAGGAGGGUGCAUAACUUAUGCACUUCCGCAUAACCACCAACUCUGAAUUCUAGAACUUGCCAAGACCUGCAUAAGGAGAGUGCAUGAUUUAUGCACUUCUGCAUGACCUAUUUCUCUGACCUCCAAAACAGGCCAAAACGUGCAUAAGUUAGCGCAUAAGCUAUGCACUCUUGCAUAAUCAGUUUUUCACACUUUUUAUCACCCACCGAAACCUGCAUAAGAGAGUGCAUAAGUUAU
RNAcentral lists this unclassified non-coding RNA (317 nucleotides) under Hevea brasiliensis (rubber tree). Lineage: Eukaryota; Viridiplantae; Streptophyta; Magnoliopsida; Malpighiales; Euphorbiaceae. The record is from RNAcentral.